RNAcentral lists this transfer RNA (75 nucleotides) under Actinomycetes bacterium. RNAcentral's name for it is "tRNA-Val". It matches the Rfam family "tRNA". Rfam says of the family: Transfer RNA (tRNA) molecules are approximately 80 nucleotides in length. Their secondary structure includes four short double-helical elements and three loops (D, anti-codon, and T loops). Further hydrogen bonds mediate the characteristic L-shaped molecular structure. tRNAs have two regions of fundamental functional importance: the anti-codon, which is responsible for specific mRNA codon recognition, and the 3' end, to which the tRNAs corresponding amino acid is attached (by aminoacyl-tRNA synthetases). tRNAs cope with the degeneracy of the genetic code in two manners: having more than one tRNA (with a specific anti-codon) for a particular amino acid; and 'wobble' base-pairing, i.e. permitting non-standard base-pairing at the 3rd anti-codon position. The record is from RNAcentral. Lineage: Bacteria; Bacillati; Actinomycetota; Actinomycetes.
GGGCGAGUGGCGCAGCGGGAGCGCAGGGCCCUUACAAGGCCAAGGUCGGGGGUUCAAAUCCCUCCUCGCCCACCA